GAACGAACGCUGGCGGCAUGCCUAACACAUGCAAGUCGAACGAGACCUUCGGGUCUAGUGGCGCACGGGUGCGUAACGCGUGGGAACCUGCCCUUAGGUUCGGAAUAACUCCCCGAAAGGGGUGCUAAUACCGGAUAAUGUCUUCGGACCAAAGAUUUAUCGCCUUUGGAUGGGCCCGCGUUGGAUUAGCUAGUUGGUAGGGUAAAAGCCUACCAAGGCGACGAUCCAUAGCUGGUCUGAGAGGAUGAUCAGCCACACUGGGACUGAGACACGGCCCAGACUCCUACGGGAGGCAGCAGUGGGGAAUAUUGGACAAUGGGCGAAAGCCUGAUCCAGCAAUGCCGCGUGAGUGAUGAAGGCCUUAGGGUUGUAAAGCUCUUUUACCCGGGAUGAUAAUGACAGUACCGGGAGAAUAAGCUCCGGCUAACCCCGUG
RNAcentral lists this ribosomal RNA (434 nucleotides) under uncultured bacterium. RNAcentral describes it as "partial 16S ribosomal RNA". It matches the Rfam family "Bacterial small subunit ribosomal RNA", at positions 27 to 507 of the family's 1533-position model. The record is from RNAcentral.